RNAcentral lists this long non-coding RNA (219 nucleotides) under Hordeum vulgare. RNAcentral describes it as "long non-coding RNA (HVUL_LNC001566)". The record is from RNAcentral. Lineage: Eukaryota; Viridiplantae; Streptophyta; Magnoliopsida; Poales; Poaceae.
AGCAAACAGGACUAUUCCUUUAAAAGAAAAAGGAAUAUUCCCAAGGAAAAGAAUAUUGGGUUUGGCUGAAGAUGGAAAUGACAAGGUCUUGGGAUGGUUUGGAGGUUGGCAAGCCACUAGGGAAGAGGAAUCAAGGGUGAUCCCCUUCAGGUUUCAAAACUAUUAAGCCACAGAAAAGCAAAACCGGACCAAAAUCAAAGAAAAAAGAAAUGGGAAAAA